RNAcentral lists this ribosomal RNA (732 nucleotides) under Triticum aestivum (bread wheat). Its description in RNAcentral is "partial small subunit ribosomal RNA". Lineage: Eukaryota; Viridiplantae; Streptophyta; Magnoliopsida; Poales; Poaceae. The record is from RNAcentral.
AUGAGGAUUCCUGCACUAAGCCUUGCCGGCGUUCCCGGCCACCAAGGUUUUAUUGGGCUGAGGCUUUCUUUAGUUCGGUUUGGUUUGGGUUUGGAGAGAAACCAGUUUGGGUUAGUUGGUUAUGGGCUGAAACCGUUUGAUGUAUUAUGGGCUAUAAACUGUGGGUACAACCCGGUUCUCUGUAUGGGUUCAUUGCCUUCGACUGCUCCCCAACCCACGCGCCGCCCGUCUUCGCCCUCGCCGCCGCCCGCACGCCCCCCUGUCUCUUCCCCCUCGCCGUCCCUUCCUUGCGCCACCGCCUCGCCGUCCCCCUCCGGCGCCGCCCCCUCCUUGGGACAGAAGAUCCAGCAUGAGCUACCCCGAGCUGGCCCUCCCAUCGUUGCCGCCGCCCCUCCUCGUCCGUUAGGGUUGAGGUCGCCGGGCCGUCUCCGCCGCGCCACCUUCCCUCCGUCGGCAGCCGACAGUGGUUAUAUAUUGAUAGAGACCUCACUUGAUGUUAUCAUGACCAACUGUGCUUCCGGGGGCUGUUCCAAUAUUUUGCUUCAUGGGUUAUAUGCAUCCAUAACAUCCUCACUUCAGUUUCCAUUUGAUUUCAGUCCUCUACUCAGACCACUAACACCAGUCUUCCUCUCCUUUGCUGUUAUGCAGAAAUGCCACGUCAAGAACAAGGAUAUCGGGAAGUUCUUGGAUGGUAUCUACGUCAGCGACAAGGGCGCCAUCAAGGAGGAGUAG